Molecule: small nuclear RNA, 122 nt
Filed under: Aotus nancymaae (Ma's night monkey)
Lineage: Eukaryota; Metazoa; Chordata; Mammalia; Primates; Aotidae
Description: U4 spliceosomal RNA (ENSANAG00000002138.1)
Rfam family: U4 spliceosomal RNA
About the family: U4 small nuclear RNA (U4 snRNA) is a component of the major U2-dependent spliceosome. The structure of U4 snRNA from yeast and human has been reported. U4 snRNA presents a k-turn RNA motif in the 5p-SL related to recognition of Snu13 protein.
Source: Rfam by way of RNAcentral
AACUUUGUGCAGUGGCAGUAUCAUGGCCAAUAUUAUUGCUAAUUGAAAACUUUUCCCAAUACCCCGCCAUGAUGACUUGAAAUAUAGUCGGCAUUGGCAAGUUUUGACAGUCUCUACGGAGA